AUGCAAAUUAACGUCUGCUUUCUGAGAGUUAGCGUCCGUUCUUUUAAACUGACGCUAAUUAGCGUCCGUUUAGUUAAAAUACCGUCCGUCUGUCGGACGCUAGAUACGAGGUAUAAAUAAAAGAAAAAAAACUCCAGUCGACCAAACUAUCAACCCUAACCCACGCCUCUCUCUUCCUCACUCUCAUCUCACGUUUCUCUCUUCCUCACUCUCAUCUCACGUUUUGGUGCUCUCUCUUUCUUGCAAAUCUCACGAAAUCAGAUCUGGUUUUCGGGUGUUCGUACUGUGAAGUCUGAUGUUUACAGUUUCGGGGUGGUGGUUUUGGAGGUGGUCUCCGCCUCUCCGGAAGAAGGCCAGUGGUCGAUAAACAGCUUGCUUGGAAUUGCAAACGACACUGUUCAGGAGUCGUCUGGAUUUCUUAGCUUCAAUCGAGUCAUGAGUCUCGACAGUUUAGAAGUUGAUCUCAGUGCUUCUCUUAAAGCAACUCCGAAGCCAUAAUUAGUACAGCAAGUUUUAACACCCAAAAAUACGCAAGUUCCUACACGAAGAUGGAAAUUGGCACCUACUAAACGUGAGCAGGAGAAAUGGGAUAAAGCAUACAAGGCUGUGACUGGGGGCACUGUAAGUAACGAUUAGCACUUAAACUACAGGCAGUGCAACCAACAGAAGAAAUGAUUCACAAGGAGAAAGGCAGGAAAAGUCGACAAGUUCAAGCAGUUUGAAGAAGUUGAUGCUAUGUAUAAUGAUGGGUGGU
This is a long non-coding RNA of Beta vulgaris subsp. vulgaris (sugar beet), 754 nucleotides long. RefSeq lists it as uncharacterized. The transcript has 6 exons. NCBI's taxonomy places the organism in Eukaryota, Viridiplantae, Streptophyta, Magnoliopsida, Caryophyllales, Amaranthaceae. The record is from RefSeq and is a predicted model, not a curated record.